Molecule: ribosomal RNA, 477 nt
Filed under: uncultured bacterium
Lineage: Bacteria
Description: partial 16S ribosomal RNA
Rfam family: Bacterial small subunit ribosomal RNA
Source: RNAcentral
GAUGAACGCUGGCGGCGUGCCUAAUACAUGCAAGUCGAGCGGACGGACGAGGAGCUUGCUUCUCUGAUGUUAGCGGCGGGCGGGUGAGUAACACGUGGAUAACCUACCUAUAAGACUGGGAUAACUUCGGGAAACCGGAGCUAAUACCGGAUAAUCUUUUGAACCGCAGGGUUCAAAAGUAAAAGACGGUCUUGCUGUCGGUUGUAGCUGGUUCCGCGCUGCAUGAGCUGGUUGGUGGGGUAGUGGCUUACCAAGGCAACGACGGGUAGCCGGCCUGAGAGGGUGACCGGCCACAUUGGGACUGAGAUACGGCCCAGACUCCUACGGGAGGCAGCAGUGGGGAAUAUUGCACAAUGGGCGGAAGCCUGAUGCAGCAACGCCGCGUGCGGGAUGACGGCCUUCGGGUUGUAAACCGCUUUCGCCUGUGACGAAGCGUGAGUGACGGUAAUGGGUAAAGAAGCACCGGCUAACUACGUG